GGUGAAGAACGCAGCGAAAUGCGAUAAGUAAUGUGAAUUGCAGAAUUCAGUGAAUCAUCGAAUCUUUGAACGCACAUUGCGCCCGCCAGUAUUCUGGCGGGCAUGCCUGUUCGAGCGUCAUUUCAACCAUCAAGCCUCAGGCUUGUGUUGGGGACCUGCGGCUGCCGCAGGCCCUGAAAACCAGUGGCGGGCUCUCUGUCACACCGGGCGUAGUAGAUUUUAUCUCGCUCAGGGCGUGCUGCGGGUUCCGGCCGUUAAAAAGCCUUUUUUACCCAAGGUUGACCUCGGAUCAGGUAGGAAGACCCGCUGAACUUAAGCAUAUCAAUAAGCGGAGGA
Molecule: unclassified non-coding RNA, 336 nt
Filed under: soil metagenome
Description: partial contains 5.8S ribosomal RNA, internal transcribed spacer 2, and large subunit ribosomal RNA
Rfam family: 5.8S ribosomal RNA (bases 3-120)
Source: RNAcentral